UUUCUCUUCGGUGUUUUAAAAAAAAAAAAAGGAAGAGAGCUCUCCUCUCUGCUGGUGGACCGUGUGCUGAUGAGGGCUCCGGCCAGCAGUCUGACCGUCGCCCGCCGCCGCGCCGCCGCGCCGACCGCCGUGGCCGGCCACCGCACGCGAUGGCCAGAGUUUCAAAAAGGUAUAUUAUUUUACCUCUUUUUUUUGUAUUUUUUAUAUGUUUAUAAUAUAUGUGUAUUUUUGAGUAAAAUAGGUUAAAAAGAAAGAAAAUAACGAUGAUAACUAAAUGAAAUCACCUUGGGCUAUUAGAUGUUGAUUCUCUGUUUGGACUAUUUUUUUUGCUCUUGAUAUUACUGUGGUCUCUGCUCUUGCUAGUGCUUAAAAUCAAAAAUUGCUUUUUAUUUUUCACCAAAAAAUGUCCCCCUUUUUACAAUGGUUUUCGGCUUUAAAUAGCCAUUUCAUUUCCGUUUUUUUAAAUAUCUGUCUAUUCUUCCAUUGUUGCUGCAGACAAACGGUGGCGGAGCAGAGGCGGUAGUGGAUGGGACAGGGGCAAGUGGCUUGAACGGCUAGGGUUUUAGGUUUUCCCUUUUUUUUUUUUUUAAUGUAUUGGGCUAGGGUUUGGGUCCAAAAUUGGGCUUGUACAGGUACCUUAUUGAUUAAUUAAUGUCUUAAUGUUGAGAGUUGAAAAUAUUUUAAAAUACAAUCUCUUUUUAUUAAUGUUCAUUUUUAAAAAGGCUCGAAUUAAAAAGGCCCACUCGUCCCGAGAUAACAAAAUGCCACAUCCCGUAAGUUAGAUGCGACGUUUGAACCCUCGAGAACAAGUUUGCUUUUAAUUUUUAUCGAAAUUUUGUGUAUUUUAAAAUUUAAAAGGAUAUUUAGCUAUUUAGGUUUAACAAG
RNAcentral lists this long non-coding RNA (885 nucleotides) under Gossypium barbadense (sea-island cotton). Its description in RNAcentral is "long non-coding RNA (GBAR_LNC009899)". The record is from RNAcentral. Lineage: Eukaryota; Viridiplantae; Streptophyta; Magnoliopsida; Malvales; Malvaceae.